This is a long non-coding RNA of Mirounga angustirostris (Northern elephant seal), 1109 nucleotides long. RefSeq lists it as uncharacterized. The record is from RefSeq and is a predicted model, not a curated record. The transcript has 2 exons. NCBI's taxonomy places the organism in Eukaryota, Metazoa, Chordata, Mammalia, Carnivora, Phocidae.
AAGCUUGUCAAAACAUUGCUGGGCCCCGCCUGCCGAGUUUCAGAUUCAGUAGGUCUGGGAUGAGGUUGGAUAAUUUGCCUGUCUACCAGGUUCCCUGGUGACGAUAAUGCUGCUUGUCUGGGAACCACGCUUUGAGAACCCGUGGCACGGUGCUGGGUCCCCGGGGUAGCUGAAACCACAGAGCCACUUUCAAGAAACUCCCAGCCUAAUGAAUACACGAACCAUGGUGACACCAAGCAGAAGAGCCCUAAGGUUGAAGCUCUGUGAAUGGUGGUUAUCACCAUUUGUCAUCUUCCAAGGCUUCUGGAGCCCCCUGAGGAGGACCUUGCUGAACAAAUCUUUCUUUCAGGGAUGAAGAUUACUGAGUGUCCUGCAAAGAAAUAUGAAGUACACAGGCAAAAAGAAUAGGGUACAUGGAAGGACUUAUGAAAUGUAAGGAAAGGGGAAGGAAUUCAUCUGGGGAAGGAAUACACAAAGCCUUUUCUAAUUCUUAGCCGUAAAAUGUAUAAUACAAAAUUAAACCCUGUCCCUGUGAUUAAGAGUAACACCUAAGGCAGGAAUGGGCCCCAAUCUUUCCUUCUCCUACUGAUGUUGAAUAUAACAAUUUCCCUAGAGGGGAAAUUGUGUUCCACCGUGGUCUCUUAGAUAACUUCAACCACAACCUCAUCACGAUGUUUGAAGGUUCAUGGAGCAACGGAAGGUGUCCGCAAGCCCAGCUACCAAACUUCCAGUUAAGAAGUCACCUCCUCCAGAAAACUAUGCUGAAUCAGAUUCAUUCCUCUGAUGAUUGCAUGCCUGCUGUGUGCCAAGCACCAUGGUAGAGGGUGACCAGUGGCCAGGGCUACGUGAGUCAGCAUCCAGACGCCCGCGGAGAUGUCUGCGCGCUUUGAUCCUGACCCCCAAGCAGCUAGAUGCCCAAAGCUCUCACCACCCUCUUCUCUGAUUGUCGAGUUGAUUGUCUGAAUCCCCUGUUAAUCUGUGAAGUCCUUGGGCAAGGACCAUGGCUUUUAUCUUUGUAUUCCCAAAGCCUGGCACGUUCUAACUGGGAAUAGAAGUAGCUCACCUUACUCAUAUUUCUUUUUACUUAUUAAAGCAUUUUAUUUUACAUG